UACGUAGGGGGCAAGCGUUGUCCGGAAUCAUUGGGCGUAAAGCGCGCGUAGGCGGCUCGAUCAGUCUGCUGUGAAAGUCAAAGGCUCAACCUUUGAAUGCCGGUGGAUACUGUCGAGCUAGAGUCCGGAAGAGGCGAGUGGAGUUCCUGGUGUAGCGGUGGAAUGCGCAGAUAUCAGGAGGAACACCAACGGCGAAGGCAGCUCGCUGGGACGGUACUGACGCUAAGGCGCGAAAGCGUGGGGAGCGAACAGG
Molecule: ribosomal RNA, 253 nt
Filed under: uncultured bacterium
Lineage: Bacteria
Description: partial 16S ribosomal RNA
Rfam family: Bacterial small subunit ribosomal RNA
Source: RNAcentral